GUGGGGAAUCUUAGACAAUGGGGGAAACCCUGAUCUAGCCAUGCCGCGUGAUCGAUGAAGGCCUUAGGGUUGUAAAGAUCUUUCAGGUGGGAAGAUAAUGACUGUACCACCAGAAGAAGCCCCGGCUAACUCCGUGCCAGCAGCCGCGGUAAUACGGAGGGGGCUAGCGUUGUUCGGAAUUACUGGGCGUAAAGCGCACGUAGGCGGAUUGGAUAGUUGGGGGUGAAAUCCCGGGGGUCAACCACGGAACUGCCUUCAAAACUCCCAGUCUUGAGUUCGAGAGAGGUGAGAGAGCUUCCGAGUGUAGAGGUGAGAUUCGUAGAUAUUAGGAGGAACAACAGUGGCGAAGGCGGCUCACUGGCUCGAUACUGACGCUGAGGUGCGAAAGCGUGGGGAGCAAACAGGAUUAGAUACCCGUGUAGUCC
Molecule: ribosomal RNA, 425 nt
Filed under: uncultured bacterium
Lineage: Bacteria
Description: partial 16S ribosomal RNA
Rfam family: Bacterial small subunit ribosomal RNA
Source: RNAcentral